CCUACGGGUGGCAGCAGUGAGGAAUAUUGGUCAAUGGGCGAAAGCCUGAACCAGCCAAGUAGCGUGAGGGAUGAAGGCCCUAUGGGUUGUAAACUGCUUUUGCAUGGGAGUAAAGGGCAGUACUUGUACAGGUUUGCAUGUACCGUGUGAAUACGGAUCGGCUAAAUCCGUGCCAGCAGCCGCGGUAAUACGGAGGCGCCGGGCGUUAUCCGGAUUUAUUGGGGUUAAAGGGUGCGUAGGCGGUGGUGUAAGUCAGGGGUGAAAGUCGGGGGCGCAACCGUAGAACUGCAGUUGAUACUGGCCGCCUGGAGUACAGGAGAGGCAGGCGGAAUUCGUGGUGUAGCGGUGAAAUGCGUAGAUAUCACGAGGAACCCCGAUUGCGAAGGCAGCCUGCUGGACUGUAACUGACGCUGAGGCUCGAAGGUGUGGGUAUCAAACAGGAUUAGAUACCCCUGUAGUC
Molecule: ribosomal RNA, 460 nt
Filed under: uncultured bacterium
Lineage: Bacteria
Description: partial 16S ribosomal RNA
Rfam family: Bacterial small subunit ribosomal RNA
Source: RNAcentral